This is a non-coding RNA of Collariella sp. IMI 366227, 84 nucleotides long. NCBI's taxonomy places the organism in Eukaryota, Fungi, Ascomycota, Sordariomycetes, Sordariales, Chaetomiaceae. The record is from the annotation of a GenBank genome assembly.
GGUUGAGUGGCGCAAUGGUAGCGCGUUACUUUCCGGUCUCUCGCUGAUUGGUAAAGGUUCUGGGUUCGAGUCCCAGCUUGAUCG